Molecule: ribosomal RNA, 108 nt
Filed under: Diaphorina citri (Asian citrus psyllid)
Lineage: Eukaryota; Metazoa; Arthropoda; Insecta; Hemiptera; Psyllidae
Source: RNAcentral
GUCAGCGGCGAUAGCACGUUGAAUACACCAGUUCCGGGUGUGUAGCAACGUUGCGCGUGGUUAGUAUCUGGAUGGGUGACCAUCUAGGCCAUCGCGUGCUAGCUUUUC